UGCCGAGGGCGUGUGCUCCUGUUCCUGACAUUACUGUGUCACACGACAUAAACUGUUCCUGUCGUGGCUCCAAUCUGACCCUGAAUUUGCACCUUCGCAGCUGUUGAGGUGUUGAAGGAUCUCAUUAUGUGGUCCCAGCUGGCCUGGAACAUACCGUGUGCACCAAGCAACCCUCAAACUCCCGGACAUCUGCUUGCAAGCUAAUUCCCACAGGCUGGGAUGACAGUCGUGCACCACCACACCGGCUUUCAGCGUUGCUACAGAUUGAAUCCAGGGCUUUGUGCAUGCUGGGCAAGCAUUCUACCAACCGAACCAUACUCCAGCUCCUCAUUUAACUGUGCUUUCUCACCGGGUGGUGGUGGCGCACGCUUUUAAUCCCAGCACUCGGGAGGCAGAGGCUGGGGGAUCUCCGUGAGUUCGAGGCCAGCCUGGUUUACAGAUCAAAGGGGGGGGGGGUGAAAACAGCAGUUUUAACUGUCCUUUCUCAAAUGUCUCCGUGAAUGGGUUAUCAGUAGGUAACCUACAGUCAGAUCUCACUUCUAGGACUCCAGGCUGUGGGCACCCAGUGACCGGCUCACCGCGCUCUUUCCCUGCCUCACCCCCACCCCUCCACCCCAGAGCUCACCUGCUCAGCCCAUCCAUCAUCUAUUUGUCCAAUAAAUAUAAUCUGAGCCUUCCAGUGCCAGGGGCCUGGGACCCAGGGAUGAACCAAACCACAUCCCUGCCCUGGAGGAUCUCGCCGCUUCAAAGCGCCGUACAAAGAGAAAAACGGUGUCCUCCAAAAAUCUGAGGACAUGCUGUCCCCAGCUGUGUGAUAAGCACAGCAGUCCGAGUAAAAACACUGUGUCCUUGAGAUCAGCUGGAAGUCAAACCGUCGCCCACACACCACUGUCCUGCGGUUCCUCUCACCGUAUAAACGUGUCUACAGUGGGAAAGAGAAGCCGGGAGUUUAACCGUGUGAAUUACGAAUUACGUCGCGGAUGGGAAGCUUAGCCAUCGAGAGAAAGCUCUUGGGGCUAAAGAGAUGGGAU
Molecule: non-coding RNA, 1031 nt
Organism: Cricetulus griseus (Chinese hamster)
Lineage: Eukaryota; Metazoa; Chordata; Mammalia; Rodentia; Cricetidae
Source: RefSeq, a predicted model, not a curated record